This 441-nucleotide ribosomal RNA is filed under the name uncultured bacterium. RNAcentral describes it as "partial 16S ribosomal RNA". It matches the Rfam family "Bacterial small subunit ribosomal RNA", at positions 338 to 795 of the family's 1533-position model. The record is from RNAcentral.
CCUACGGGCGGCAGCAGUGGGGAAUAUUGCACAAUGGGGGAAACCCUGAUGCAGCGACGCCGCGUGAGUGAAGAAGGACUUCGGUAUGUAAAGCUCUAUCAUCAGGGACGAAGUAUGACGGUACCUGACUAAUAAGCUCCGGCUAACUACGUGCCAGCAGCCGCGGUAAUACGUAGGGGGCAAGCGUUAUCCGGAUUUACUGGGUGUAAAGGGAGCGUAGGCGGCUGUGCAAGUCUGAAGUGAAAUCCCAGGGCUGAACCCUGGGACUGCUUUGGAAACUGUGUAUCUAGAGUGAUGGAGAGGUAAGCGGAAGGCCUAGUGUAGCGGUGAAAUGCGUAGAUAUUGGGAGGAACACCAGUGGCGAAGGCGGCUUACUGGACAGUAACUGACGUUGAGGCGCGAAAGCGUGGGGAGCAAACAGGAUUAGAUACCCGGGUAGUC